This 2513-nucleotide ribosomal RNA is filed under the name Escherichia coli. Its description in RNAcentral is "partial 23S ribosomal RNA". It matches the Rfam family "Bacterial large subunit ribosomal RNA", at positions 444 to 2925 of the family's 2925-position model. Lineage: Bacteria; Pseudomonadati; Pseudomonadota; Gammaproteobacteria; Enterobacterales; Enterobacteriaceae. The record is from RNAcentral.
AUGGGGGGACCAUCCUCCAAGGCUAAAUACUCCUGACUGACCGAUAGUGAACCAGUACCGUGAGGGAAAGGCGAAAAGAACCCCGGCGAGGGGAGUGAAAAAGAACCUGAAACCGUGUACGUACAAGCAGUGGGAGCCUCUUAAUGGGGUGACUGCGUACCUUUUGUAUAAUGGGUCAGCGACUUAUAUUCUGUAGCAAGGUUAACCGAAUAGGGGAGCCGAAGGGAAACCGAGUCUUAACUGGGCGUUAAGUUGCAGGGUAUAGACCCGAAACCCGGUGAUCUAGCCAUGGGCAGGUUGAAGGUUGGGUAACACUAACUGGAGGACCGAACCGACUAAUGUUGAAAAAUUAGCGGAUGACUUGUGGCUGGGGGUGAAAGGCCAAUCAAACCGGGAGAUAGCUGGUUCUCCCCGAAAGCUAUUUAGGUAGCGCCUCGUGAAUUCAUCUCCGGGGGUAGAGCACUGUUUCGGCAAGGGGGUCAUCCCGACUUACCAACCCGAUGCAAACUGCGAAUACCGGAGAAUGUUAUCACGGGAGACACACGGCGGGUGCUAACGUCCGUCGUGAAGAGGGAAACAACCCAGACCGCCAGCUAAGGUCCCAAAGUCAUGGUUAAGUGGGAAACGAUGUGGGAAGGCCCAGACAGCCAGGAUGUUGGCUUAGAAGCAGCCAUCAUUUAAAGAAAGCGUAAUAGCUCACUGGUCGAGUCGGCCUGCGCGGAAGAUGUAACGGGGCUAAACCAUGCACCGAAGCUGCGGCAGCGACACUAUGUGUUGUUGGGUAGGGGAGCGUUCUGUAAGCCUGUGAAGGUGGCCUGUGAGGGUUGCUGGAGGUAUCAGAAGUGCGAAUGCUGACAUAAGUAACGAUAAAGCGGGUGAAAAGCCCGCUCGCCGGAAGACCAAGGGUUCCUGUCCAACGUUAAUCGGGGCAGGGUGAGUCGACCCCUAAGGCGAGGCCGAAAGGCGUAGUCGAUGGGAAACAGGUUAAUAUUCCUGUACUUGGUGUUACUGCGAAGGGGGGACGGAGAAGGCUAUGUUGGCCGGGCGACGGUUGUCCCGGUUUAAGCGUGUAGGCUGGUUUUCCAGGCAAAUCCGGAAAACCAAGGCUGAGGCGUGAUGACGAGGCACUACGGUGCUGAAGUGACAAAUGCCCUGCUUCCAGGAAAAGCCUCUAAGCAUCAGGUAACAUCAAAUCGUACCCCAAACCGACACAGGUGGUCAGGUAGAGAAUACCAAGGCGCUUGAGAGAACUCGGGUGAAGGAACUAGGCAAAAUGGUGCCGUAACUUCGGGAGAAGGCACGCUGAUAUGUAGGUGAAGCGACUUGCUCGUGGAGCUGAAAUCAGUCGAAGAUACCAGCUGGCUGCAACUGUUUAUUAAAAACACAGCACUGUGCAAACACGAAAGUGGACGUAUACGGUGUGACGCCUGCCCGGUGCCGGAAGGUUAAUUGAUGGGGUUAGCGGUAACGCGAAGCUCUUGAUCGAAGCCCCGGUAAACGGCGGCCGUAACUAUAACGGUCCUAAGGUAGCGAAAUUCCUUGUCGGGUAAGUUCCGACCUGCACGAAUGGCGUAAUGAUGGCCAGGCUGUCUCCACCCGAGACUCAGUGAAAUUGAACUCGCUGUGAAGAUGCAGUGUACCCGCGGCAAGACGGAAAGACCCCGUGAACCUUUACUAUAGCUUGACACUGAACAUUGAGCCUUGAUGUGUAGGAUAGGUGGGAGGCUUUGAAGUGUGGACGCCAGUCUGCAUGGAGCCGACCUUGAAAUACCACCCUUUAAUGUUUGAUGUUCUAACGUUGGCCCCUAAUCGGGGUUGCGGACAGUGUCUGGUGGGUAGUUUGACUGGGGCGGUCUCCUCCUAAAGAGUAACGGAGGAGCACGAAGGUUGGCUAAUCCUGGUCGGACAUCAGGAGGUUAGUGCAAUGGCAUAAGCCAGCUUGACUGCGAGCGUGACGGCGCGAGCAGGUGCGAAAGCAGGUCAUAGUGAUCCGGUGGUUCUGAAUGGAAGGGCCAUCGCUCAACGGAUAAAAGGUACUCCGGGGAUAACAGGCUGAUACCGCCCAAGAGUUCAUAUCGACGGCGGUGUUUGGCACCUCGAUGUCGGCUCAUCACAUCCUGGGGCUGAAGUAGGUCCCAAGGGUAUGGCUGUUCGCCAUUUAAAGUGGUACGCGAGCUGGGUUUAGAACGUCGUGAGACAGUUCGGUCCCUAUCUGCCGUGGGCGCUGGAGAACUGAGGGGGGCUGCUCCUAGUACGAGAGGACCGGAGUGGACGCAUCACUGGUGUUCGGGUUGUCAUGCCAAUGGCACUGCCCGGUAGCUAAAUGCGGAAGAGAUAAGUGCUGAAAGCAUCUAAGCACGAAACUUGCCCCGAGAUGAGUUCUCCCUGAGACUUAGAGUCUCCUGAAGGAACGUUGAAGACGACGACGUUGAUAGGCCGGGUGUGUAAGCGCAGCGAUGCGUUGAGCUAACCGGUACUAAUGAACCGUGAGGCUUAACCUUACAACGCCGAAG